This 497-nucleotide ribosomal RNA is filed under the name uncultured bacterium. Its description in RNAcentral is "partial 16S ribosomal RNA". It matches the Rfam family "Bacterial small subunit ribosomal RNA", at positions 28 to 507 of the family's 1533-position model. The record is from RNAcentral.
GACGAACGCUGGCGGCGUGCCUAAUACAUGCAAGUUGAGCGCUGAAGGUUGGUACUUGUACCUACUGGAUGAGCAGCGGACGGGUGAGUAACGCGUGGAGAAUCUGCCUUUGAGCGGGGGACAACAUUGGGAAACGAAUGCUAAUACCGCAUAAAAUCUUUAACCACAAGUUUUAAGUGUGAAAGAUGCAAUUGCAUCACUCAAAGAAGAUACCGGCUUGUCUUUACUUGUUGGUGAGGUAAAGGCUCACCAAGGCGAAGGUUCCUAGCCCGCCUUGGAGGGGGAUCCGCCACAUUGGGACCGAGGCCCGGCCCCAACUCCCUAGGGGAGCAGCCGUAAGGGAUCUUCGGCCAUGGACGGAAGUCUUACCGGGCAACGCCGCGUGAGUGAAGAAGGGUUUCGGGUCCGAAAACUUUGUUGGUUGGGAAGAACGUUGGUUGGAGUUAAAUGCGCAUCUAUUGACGGUAACUACCCAGAAAGGGACGGCUAACUACGUG